This is a non-coding RNA of Acanthosepion pharaonis, 111 nucleotides long. The record is from the annotation of a GenBank genome assembly. NCBI's taxonomy places the organism in Eukaryota, Metazoa, Mollusca, Cephalopoda, Sepiida, Sepiidae.
GCAUUCACAUCACGUUGGAACACCGGUUCCCGUGCAAUCUUCGAAGUUAAGCAACGUCGAGCAUGGUCAGCACCUAGAUGGGCGACCGUUUGGGAAUAUCACGUGCUGUAA